Molecule: unclassified non-coding RNA, 725 nt
Filed under: Hevea brasiliensis (rubber tree)
Lineage: Eukaryota; Viridiplantae; Streptophyta; Magnoliopsida; Malpighiales; Euphorbiaceae
Source: RNAcentral
UCAUAAUCCAACCAAUUUUUCUAUACAGCACAAGUUUUGCAAAUGUUUAUAAACUAUUUGCAUAACUUUUAUUAAAAAAAUGGCCAAAAGUUAAAACACCGGUCCUUAUGAAGGAUUGGAUAACCAAACUGUGUUAAAACGGAUCCAACAAAUUCGGACCCUAAAUUUUGGCCCGGGUACCAGGCUAGGGUCCCAUAAUGGGUGUGGAACCGCAAAAAGACCAACCGAAAGAGAUGGACUGGAAAACUCUGGGUGGAACGGAGAGUAGUGAGGCUAAUGUUGGACCAGCUGUGAAGAAACGACUUCCAAAAAGGAUUCGACAAGUUCCUGAGUAUUAUUUUCUUCCACGAAGAUCCUUACCAUACUCCAUCGCCUUUUAUGGGUCGUUUAUUGCUGCAGGUGUUGGUGCAGGAAUGCUACUCGAAGCAUGGAUCAACAAGAAGGUAAAAGAGGAUGGAGGAGUCAUUUGGGAGUUCGACAAGUGAACGAUGUGUUCUUUUCAUGUUUGGAUUGCUACUGCUUUUGCCUCAAGGAGUUCACUGAAGAUGAAUAGCAUAACCAUUACUACAUGAUGAUAAAUGCUUCUUCAGCAUCCAAUUCAACUUGUAGGUUGUAAUAUUUCAGGUGCACAGUGCAGAACAGAUGUGUUGAAUUUGGCAAACAAUACUAAAACAUUAGGUCGUAUUUUUACCUUUAUAGCUUAACCUUUGAAUAAAUAGAGAGGC